AAAACAAAAACAAUAAACAAAACCACCAGUGUAGGAGAAACCGUCGACUCCAUCCAUGGUUGGGUUGAGGCCUACCUACAUCUGUGAAAGUCCCGCUGCCCACACCCUCUUCGAAUUCCUAAAUCAGCCACUGUAAAUUUCUGGUCUCAGUAUAUGGCAGGUAUUUGUCACAAGUUAACUUGGUAUAAACGCAAAACCUCAGCAACCUACUGGAUUUCUCGUUUUCUUUUCGUAAUUGGAAUGUUGUUUUCAAAGUAUGUAAUUUAUACAUGACAGUUAUUAAUUGAAAAUAAUAUUACUUGCUAUUUUAGUGUCCUUUUUAAAUUUAGAUUUUACAAAACAUAUCAUAAUUCUGAUGCCUAGACUUAUGGUAGUUUAAUUGGCUUAACUGGUGGUAACUCUGUCGGCUAAACCGGUGGUAGCAACUGUCUUUCGGA
This is a long non-coding RNA of Anneissia japonica, 437 nucleotides long. RefSeq lists it as uncharacterized. NCBI's taxonomy places the organism in Eukaryota, Metazoa, Echinodermata, Crinoidea, Comatulida, Comatulidae. The transcript is spliced from 3 exons. The record is from RefSeq and is a predicted model, not a curated record.